Long non-coding RNA from Quercus robur (English oak), 1415 nucleotides. RefSeq lists it as uncharacterized. Lineage: Eukaryota; Viridiplantae; Streptophyta; Magnoliopsida; Fagales; Fagaceae. The record is from RefSeq and is a predicted model, not a curated record. The transcript is spliced from 8 exons.
ACAUUUGUCACAUCAGAGAAAAUAGAAGAGAGAGAGAGAGAGGGAGAAGGAACGCAGCAGAGAGAUAGAGAGAGGGAGAAGGCCGGUGGAGAUCAAGUCAAGAGAGCUACUGUAGCCACUCCAAAAAAAAUUUGGAAAAAUCUGAGGGCCUAUACCACCGUCAGACCAGUUUUCCUCCGAAAACAUUACCGAAUUUCAGUUUCAGGGUCAUCAAAGCUGUUAGCUAAUAUUCUGUACUCAUGGGUCUAUCUAUUGGGAACUUAAUUGCUAGAUGGGAUGAAAUGGGACUUCCAAUCUAUCCAAUUUUGGGGAUGUUUGGAGCAGACAGAUUUGAUGCUAUUCUUCUUCCAAGCUAGAUGAGUGAUCAAUAAUAAUAGUUAGCCAUUUGCUCUAACCUCUAAAUUUGGAAUGAUGUCUGGGGCUAUAUAAUGGUUGUUGGAGCAUCAAAGCCAACUAUAGUGGCUGGUGUAGAUAGGUUUUCCAGUAUGAAAAAGUAGAAUAUUGGUUUGACUUGCCUGCACAAACCAUCACCCUAGAUUUUGAGAAAGAUCUGCAUUUACUGAAGUUGAGAAUUGCCCUUGAUUUGUAGAGGCACUACAAGAAGGGAGAUUCAAAAUCCAAAACUUUGCCCAUUUGAGAAGUGCCAUUGAUCUGUAGAGGCACUACAAGAAGGGUGAUUCAAAAUCCAAAACUUUGCCCAUGUAUAUGCAGACCAGGAUGGUGAUAGAGUCAGCAUCAGACUUCUUCACAGGUAGACUAACAAAGAAGGGGAGAAAGGGAACAAUUGCAUCUGAGGUGUUAUCUGAUCCCUUCCCUUGCUGACUACAGGUGAGAUAUGCAACUCUAUUGAAAACCAUAUGACCAUAUCAUGACAUGAUGUGUUGAGUUCAAAGGGUGAAAGGAAUGUGGUGUUGCCAUUUGUAAAAAUAUGUUAUUUUGCCUAUAUAUAAUGGUUGAUUAAGAUGAAUUCAGCAAAGGGAGAUCUAAAUUCUAUAUGAGCUUGCUUAUCUUAGUUGUAGCCUUCAAAUGGACUUACAAAAAAAAAAAAAAAUUCAGACAGACAUAAUUUGUGAAGAAAAUGUGAAGCAUGGUCAUCAUAUAUAACACAGUAAUAAAAACUUGAGAGAGCAUAUAGCAUUAGAUUUUGUUUGGGGGGGAGGGGGGGUGGGCACCAGAAAGUUGACCUUGUUAUUUUUUCUUUGUAUUUCUGGAAAUUAUUUCCCACAGAAACUUCCAUCUUCACUCACCCCCACAUAUUAAAAAUUUGGAGUCCUCUAUUGUGCAGCUUAACAUUUCCAUUGCUACAGUGAAUGAUCUGAUAAACUGUGAUACUCUUACCAAGUGACAUGAGAAACAGAAUCCUCUCAGCUGAUUUAUGAUUCAUAGCUAUAUUCACAUGUGCUGUUUCUCUUUGA